Molecule: ribosomal RNA, 346 nt
Filed under: uncultured Gammaproteobacteria bacterium
Lineage: Bacteria; Pseudomonadati; Pseudomonadota; Gammaproteobacteria
Description: bacterial SSU rRNA
Rfam family: Bacterial small subunit ribosomal RNA
Source: RNAcentral
GAGUUUGAUCUUGGCUCAGAUUGAACGCUGGCGGCAGGCCUAACACAUGCAAGUCGAGCGGAUGAGAGGAGCUUGCUCCUUGAUUCAGCGGCGGACGGGUGAGGUAAUGCCUAGGAAUCUGCCUGAUAGUGGGGGGACAACGUUUCGAAAGGAACGCUAAUACCGCAUACGUCCUACGGGAGAAAGCAGGGGGCCUUCGGGCCUUGCGCUAUCAGAUGAGCCUAGGUCGGAUUAGCUAGUAGGUGGGGUAAAUGGCUCACCUAGGCGACGAAUCCGUAACUGGUCUGAGAGGAUGAUCAGUCACACUGGAACUGAGACACGGUCCAGACUCCUACGGGAGGCAGCA